Long non-coding RNA from Mercurialis annua (annual mercury), 658 nucleotides. RefSeq lists it as uncharacterized. The transcript has 2 exons. The record is from RefSeq and is a predicted model, not a curated record. NCBI's taxonomy places the organism in Eukaryota, Viridiplantae, Streptophyta, Magnoliopsida, Malpighiales, Euphorbiaceae.
UAAUCUUAUAAAAUUAAUUAAAAAGUAAUAAUGAAAUCUUUCAAGAGCGAAUAUUUCGUGCUAUUGAUGUUCGCAUUGCUAGUAUCAUCAAGCGAUGCAUUCUCAUUUCUUCCAAAAAGGGUUAGGAUGACGAUAACUAACUAUGUAGACCCGUCUAUUAAGCUUCAUUGCAAAUCGAGUGAUAAUGAUUUUGGUGUAAAAGAUUUAAAAGUGAAUACAUCUUUUGUGUUUAGCUUUAGACCUAACAUUUUUGGAAGGACUAAAUUUGCUUGUGGCUUUGGUGACAGUCUUGAUUUUCCAAUAGAUGUUUACGGUGGUCACAUGCUUGGCCAUCUCAAAUGCAGAAAUUGUUUUUGGCAAAUUAACAAAACCAGUUUUUGUAUGCCUCAAGGUGCUGACCUUACUCCUUAUUGUGUGUGAUAAAGAAAUGUUUCUAAUUCGUUCUAAAACAAGGAGAUGCUAAUUUUGGAGCGGUGUUACAAUUUCAUCACUUUUUGGGUUUAGCUUUGGACAUCACAUUUCUAGAAUGACUUUAUAUCUUUGAAGGAAUUAUAUAUUAUUAUUUUAAUUUUGAUUUCAAUUGUAUUUUAUAAUUAUUUGAUACAUUUUUAAUAUAAAUAUUAUAUGGAUAAAGAAUAAAUAUAUAUGUAUUUUAUAA